RNAcentral lists this ribosomal RNA (1316 nucleotides) under metagenome. RNAcentral describes it as "bacterial LSU rRNA". It matches the Rfam family "Bacterial large subunit ribosomal RNA", at positions 1563 to 2925 of the family's 2925-position model. The record is from RNAcentral.
GGAUUGGGAGGGUUCUACGGAACCCGUUUGGUGAAUCUAGUGCCGAGAAAAGCCUUCUAUGUGUUGAAUUUCUAGUACCCGUACCCCAAACCGACACAGGUGGGUGGGUAGAGCAUACCUAGGGGCGCGUGAUAACUCUCUCUAAGGAACUCGGCAAAAUGGCCCUGUAACUUCGGGAUAAGGGGUGCCUGCGUGAGCAGGCCGCAGUGAAAUGGCUCUGGCGACUGUUUACCAAAAACACAGGUCUCUGCUAAGUCGUAAGACGAUGUAUAGGGGCUGACUCCUGCCCAGUGCCGGAAGGUUAAGGAAGUUGGUUAGCGCAAGCGAAGCUGGCGACCGAAGCCCCGGUGAACGGCGGCCGUAACAAUAACGGUCCUAAGGUAGCGAAAUUCCUUGUCGGGUAAGUUCCGACCCGCACGAAAGGAGUAACGAUCAGAGCGCUGUCUCGGAGAGAGACACGGCGAAAUAGGAUUGUCCGUGAAGAUACGGACUACCUGCACCCGGACAGAAAGACCCUAUGAAGCUUUACUGUAACUUGGAAUUGUGUUCGGACUUUGUCUGCGCAGAAUAGGUGGGAGGCUAUGAAACGUUCCUCGCGGGGAACUGGAGCCAUCGUUGAGAUACCACUCUGGCAGAGUCUGGAUUCUAACCUACGGGGACAGUUCCAGGUGGGCAGUUUGACUGGGGCGGUCGCCUCCUAAAAUGUAACGGAGGCGCGCAAAGGUUCCCUCAGGCUGGUUGGAAAUCAGCCAUAGAGUGUAAAAGCAUAAGGGAGCUUGACUGUGAGACCUACAAGUCGAGCAGGGACGAAAGUCGGCUUUAGUGAUCCGACGGCACUGAGUGGAAGGGCCGUCGCUCAACGGAUAAAAGUUACUCUAGGAUAACAGGCUGAUCUCCCCCAAGAGUUCACAUCGACGGGGAGGUUUGGCACCUCGAUGUCGGCUCGUCGCAACCUGGGGCGGUAGUACGUCCCAAGGGUUGGGCUGUUCGCCCAUUAAAGCGGCACGUGAGCUGGGUUCAGAACGUCGUGAGACAGUUCGGUCCAUAUCCGGUGUAGGCGUAGGAGCAUUGAAAGGAUCUCUCCUUAGUACGAGGGGACCGGGAGGGACGUACCUCUGGUGUACCUGUUAUCGUGCCAACGGUAAACGCAGGGUAGCCAUGUACGGAGUGGAUAACCGCUGAAAGCAUCUAAGUGGGAAGCCCACCUUAAGAUGAGUGCUCCCUUGAGGCCACGGGAAGACGACCCGUUUGAUAGGCGCUAGGUGGAAGUGCAGUAAUGCAUGUAGCCGAGGCGUACUAAUAGGCCGAUGGCUUGU